UACGUAGGGUGCAAGCGUUGUCCGGAAUCAUUGGGCGUAAAGAGCGUGUAGGCGGCCAGACAGGUCCGUUGUGAAAACUCGAGGCUCAACCUCGAGACGCCGAUGGAAACCGUUUGGCUAGAGUCCGGAAGAGGAGAGUGGAAUUCCUGGUGUAGCGGUGAAAUGCGCAGAUAUCAGGAAGAACACCCGUGGCUAAGGCGGCUCUCUAGUACGGUACUGACGCUGAGACGCGAAAGCGUGGGGAGCGAACAGG
Molecule: ribosomal RNA, 253 nt
Filed under: uncultured bacterium
Lineage: Bacteria
Description: partial 16S ribosomal RNA
Rfam family: Bacterial small subunit ribosomal RNA
Source: RNAcentral